GAGAGGGUGACCGGCCACACUGGGACUGAGACACGGCCCAGACUCCUACGGGAGGCAGCAGUGGGGAAUAUUGCACAAUGGGCGAAAGCCUGAUGCAGCAACGCCGCGCGAGGGACGACGGCCUUCGGGUUGUAAACCUCUUUUAGCAAGGAAGAAGCGAAAGUGACGGUACUUGCAGAAAAAGCGCCGACUAACUACGUGCCAGCAGCCGCGGUAAUACGUAGGGCGCAAGCGUUAUCCGGAAUUAUUGGGCGUAAAGAGCUCGUAGGCGGUUUGUCGCGUCUGCUGUGAAAACCCGAGGCUCAACCUCGGGCCUGCAGUGGGUACGGGCAGACUAGAGUGCGGUAGGGGAGAUUGGAACUCCUGGUGUAGCGGUGGAAUGCGCAGAUAUCAGGAAGAACACCGAUGGCGAAGGCAGAUCUCUGGGCCGUAACUGACGCUGAGGAGCGAAAGGGUGGGGAGCAAACAGGCUUAGACACCCUGGUAGUCCACCCCGUAAACGUUGGGAACUAGUUGUGGGGUCCAUUCCACGGAUUCCGUGACGCAGCUAACGCAUUAAGUUCCCCGCCUGGGGAGUACGG
This 581-nucleotide ribosomal RNA is filed under the name uncultured Actinomycetes bacterium. RNAcentral describes it as "bacterial SSU rRNA". It matches the Rfam family "Bacterial small subunit ribosomal RNA", at positions 294 to 885 of the family's 1533-position model. The record is from RNAcentral. Lineage: Bacteria; Bacillati; Actinomycetota; Actinomycetes.